AAUCCAGGCCCUACGGGGCGCAGCAGGCGCGAAAACUUUACAAUGCGGGCAACCGUGAUAAGGGAACCUCGAGUGCCUGUAAAUGCAGGCUGUUUAGGUGUUUAAAACGCACCUGGAGAAAGGGCCGGGCAAGACCGGUGCCAGCCGCCGCGGUAAUACCGGCGGCUCGAGUGGUGGCCACUUUUAUUGGGCUUAAAGCGUUCGUAGCUGGGUUGUUAAGUCUCUUGGGAAAUCUGGCGGCUUAACCGUCAGGCGUCUAAGGGAUACUGGCAAUCUUGGAACCGGGAGAGGUGAGGGGUACUUCGGGGGUAGGAGUGAAAUCCUGUAAUCCUCGAGGGACCACCUGUGGCGAAGGCGCCUCACCAGAACGGCUUCGACAGUGAGGGACGAAAGCUGGGGGAGCAAACCGGAUUAGAUACCCGGGUAGUCCCAGCCGUAAACUAUGCGCGUUAGGUGUAUCGGUGACCACGAGUUACCGAGGUGCCGAAGGGAAACCGUGAAACGUGCCGCCUGGGAAGUACGGUCGCAAGGCUGAAACUUAAAGGAAUUGGCGGGGGAGCACCACAACAGGUGGAGCCUGCGGUUUAAUUGGACUCAACGCCGGGAAGCUCACCGGAUAGGACAGCAGAAUGAUGCCGGCUAGAUUCAAC
RNAcentral lists this ribosomal RNA (650 nucleotides) under uncultured archaeon. RNAcentral describes it as "bacterial SSU rRNA". It matches the Rfam family "Archaeal small subunit ribosomal RNA", at positions 313 to 967 of the family's 1478-position model. The record is from RNAcentral.